RNAcentral lists this ribosomal RNA (265 nucleotides) under uncultured prokaryote. RNAcentral's name for it is "partial 16S ribosomal RNA". It matches the Rfam family "Bacterial small subunit ribosomal RNA", at positions 524 to 788 of the family's 1533-position model. The record is from RNAcentral.
UACGUAGGGGGCAAGCGUUAUCCGGAUUUACUGGGUGUAAAGGGAGCGCAGACGGAACUGCAAGUCUGAUGUGAAAGCCCGGGGCUCAACCGCGGGACUGCAUCGGAUACUGUGGAUCUGGAGUGCCGGAGGGGCAAGCGGAAUUCCUGGUGUAGCGGUGAAAUGCGUAGAUAUCAGGAGGAACACCGGCGGCGAAGGCGGCUUGCUGGACGGCAACUGACGUUGAGGCUCGAAAGUGUGGGGAGCAAACAGGAUUAGAUACCCU